Gasterosteus aculeatus aculeatus (three-spined stickleback) is the source of this 1104-nucleotide long non-coding RNA. Lineage: Eukaryota; Metazoa; Chordata; Actinopteri; Perciformes; Gasterosteidae. The record is from Ensembl.
CGGCGGCGCGAGCCCGCCGGCGGAACAUCUAUCUACGUUCGCGGCACAGCUCAGGGGGAACCGUCGAAGGGGGUCAAACUGAGGGCAGAGACGGAGACAAUGACAUGGAGAAGACAAUCGCAAUACAAGGGCCCUGUCAUCGGGGAAAUCCUACUUUGUGGAAUAUUCAGACAGCAAUAUGAAAGAUGUUGGCGUUCCACUCCGGGACAACCGUCCGUGGGAGAGGAACCUCCGCCAGCCGCGAGCAGCACAGUACAUAAAUCUCCUCGUCCCCUUCGGGCCUGCGACCUGGAGCUAACCCCACCCCGACACUCACUGGAAGACGGUCUUUUAAUAAUUUACGGCCCUUUGUCUGUGAUCGGGUUUCACAACUGAGCUUUGAACCUUUCCGACAUCGAGAGCAACGUUUGGACGGAGGACAAGUCUCAGAGUGUCCAAACCCACAGGGUGUGAACUGAACACUUAUGCAACAAGACAUUACCUUACGCACGUUCAUGUCAUUACAAGUGCAGAGAGAACUCAGUUUCUUUACUAUUUGCCUGAUAAAGGCUCGACAGAUGUGGGCCAAAUGUCACCAACGCAAACUGUACGAUUGCUGGUUUGGUGUAAUUUGUGUGAUUGAAACUUCAUGUCAUUCAACCUGCAAAACUCUCAAAACGGCCACGAUCAAGGACACAAGCUCAGAGUCUCCAGUUCUUUGGCUCUGAUCAUCACACUUGUUCCCGAAUUGGGGACAUAACUUGAGUAGAAUCAAGUGUUUCCACUGCAUUUCAAACGAAUAUUAUAACUUUUACUAACCCCCAAAUUGGCUCCAAAAUGUUUGCCUUUGUGAUGUUUAGUUGAAGCCUCUUUUCAGAUGUCUGUGAGUUUUUGACGGAUUCCCUCUAAACUGAUGUGUUGCUCUUGGGCCAAAUUAAAGAUGAGAGAAAGCAGCGAAAUCAGUUUAGGGAAAUCUUUCAGAAUCGUCACGCUGAUCAUGAACUAACAAACGUGCAACGAAUGAACAACCGAAAAAGAAGCUUCACCUACCCUCCGGACGUCCUACGGGCACACAUUGCGUUUGUGACGAGCGAGAGAACACUUCAUAAGUAAUGAAAGUUGUGU